RNAcentral lists this unclassified non-coding RNA (400 nucleotides) under uncultured fungus. Its description in RNAcentral is "sequence contains ITS1". Lineage: Eukaryota; Fungi. The record is from RNAcentral.
GCCCGUCAAUUCCUUUAAGUUUCAACCUUGCGGCCGUACUCCCCAGGCGGUCGACUUCACGCGUUAGCUUCGUUACUAAGGGAUUUCACUCCCCCAACAACCAGUUGACAUCGUUUAGGGCGUGGACUACCAGGGUAUCUAAUCCUGUUUGCUACCCACGCUUUCGUACAUGAGCGUCAGUGUCAUCCCAGGGGGCUGCCUUCGCCAUCGGUGUUCCUCCACAUCUCUACGCAUUUCACUGCUACACGUGGAAUUCCACCCCCCUCUGACGCACUCUAGACUGCCAGUUCAAAACGCCAUUCCCAGGUUAAGCCCGGGGAUUUCACAUCUGGCUUAAGAGGCCGCCUGCGCACGCUUUACGCCCAGUAAUUCCGAUUAACGCUCGCACCCUACGUAUUAC